Molecule: ribosomal RNA, 402 nt
Filed under: uncultured prokaryote
Description: bacterial SSU rRNA
Rfam family: Bacterial small subunit ribosomal RNA
Source: RNAcentral
UGGGGAAUAUUGGACAAUGGGCGCAAGCCUGAUCCAGCCAUGCCGCGUGAGUGAUGAAGGUCUUAGGAUUGUAAAGCUCUUUCACCGAUGAAGAUAAUGACGGUAGUCGGAGAAGAAGCCCCGGCUAACUUCGUGCCAGCAGCCGCGGUAAUACGAAGGGGGCUAGCGUUGUUCGGAAUUACUGGGCGUAAAGCGCACGUAGGCGGAUAUUUAAGUCAGGGGUGAAAUCCCAGAGCUCAACUCUGGAACUGCCUUUGAUACUGGGUAUCUUGAGUAUGGAAGAGGUGAGUGGAAUUCCGAGUGUAGAGGUGAAAUUCGUAGAUAUUCGGAGGAACACCAGUGGCGAAGGCGGCUCACUGGUCCAUUACUGACGCUGAGGUGCGAAAGCGUGGGGAGCAAACA